GACGAACGCUGGCGGCGUGCUUAACACAUGCCAGUCGAACGGAAAGGCCCUGCUUUUGUGGGGUGCUCGAGUGGCGAACGGGUGAGUAACACGUGAGUAACCUGCCCUUGACUUUGGGAUAACUUCAGGAAACUGGGGCUAAUACCGGAUAGGAGCUCCUGCUGCAUGGUGGGGGUUGGAAAGUUUCGGCGGUUGGGGAUGGACUCGCGGCUUAUCAGCUUGUUGGUGGGGUAGUGGCUUACCAAGGCUUUGACGGGUAGCCGGCCUGAGAGGGUGACCGGCCACAUUGGGCCUGGGAUACGGCCCAGACUCCUACGGGAGGCAGCAGUGGGGAAUAUUGCACAAUGGGCGGAAGCCUGAUGCAGCAACGCCGCGUGCGGGAUGACGGCCUUCGGGUUGUAAACCGCUUUCGCCUGUGACGAAGCGUGAGUGACGGUAAUGGGUAAAGAAGCAACGGCUAACUACGUG
This 468-nucleotide ribosomal RNA is filed under the name uncultured bacterium. RNAcentral describes it as "partial 16S ribosomal RNA". It matches the Rfam family "Bacterial small subunit ribosomal RNA", at positions 28 to 507 of the family's 1533-position model. The record is from RNAcentral.